This is a long non-coding RNA of Oncorhynchus tshawytscha (Chinook salmon), 988 nucleotides long. The record is from Ensembl. Lineage: Eukaryota; Metazoa; Chordata; Actinopteri; Salmoniformes; Salmonidae.
UGUCGUUCCACUUCAUGAUUGUGUCCCACUUGUUGUUGAUUCUUCACAAAAAAAUACAGUUUUAUAUCUUUAUGUUUGAAGCCUGAAAUGUGGCAAAAGGUCGCAAAGUUCAAGGGGGCCGAAUACUUUCGCAAGGCACUGUAACUAGAUGUAGUAGGCUAAUGUUAACUAGCUGGCCUGAGAGGAGGGAGGUUCAAUAUGUAACUAGAUGUAGAAGGCUAAUGUUAACUAGCUGGCCUGAGAGGAGGGAAGUUCAAUAUGUAACUAGAUGUAGUAGGCUAAUGUUAACUAGCUGGCCUGAGAGGAGGGAAGUUCAAUAUGUAACUAGAUGUAGUAGGCUAAUGUUAACUAGCUGGUGUGGCUAUCCAGGUAGGACAACAGCAAACUAAAAGCGUGUACUGUAUGACAGAGUCAUAGACCGUUGAGGCAACAUGAAAGAGGAUGGCAUUGGUGUUGGUCAACAUGUUUUUCCUACUUGAGCGCAAACGCACACACACAACCAGAACAGUGGACAGCCACAUCCUAUUCAGCUUAUAUUGAUUGGACUAAAUAGUUUCUGGUAUCUUUUAGUUGUCACUGUAUUAGACUAAGCAGAGGCGAUUUGAUGAUGUUGAAAAUAUUGAAGAUGAAAUGGUGCUGGAAUAGUGAAGUCAGCUCCUGUUUUCUUUGAGACUUGCGGUACCUCUCUGCGUUUCUUAAUCAAUAGUUGUUUUAGUGGUCCGAAAAUGUCCGAAACAUGACCUUUCUUGACCUUGCUGUAGGUCUGUAAAAUGAAAUAUGUUUCGUGGACCAAAUCGGACAGAUGUCGCUCUCCGGUUUUGGGAUGAAACAAAAAGUUGAAUUUAUUCUGACACUGUGUCUUCUUAUUGUCUCGGCCUCAGGACUACAUAUCAUGGUGUCAAGACACAGGAACUAACAGUUUGAGGGUGUCAAGACACAGGAACUAACAGUUUGAGGGUGUCAAGACACAGGAACUAACAGUUUGAGG